Molecule: ribosomal RNA, 620 nt
Filed under: uncultured bacterium
Lineage: Bacteria
Description: bacterial SSU rRNA
Rfam family: Bacterial small subunit ribosomal RNA
Source: RNAcentral
GGUGCGUAGGCGGCCUUUUAAGUCAGUGGUGAAAUCCUGCCGCUUAACGGUAGAAUUGCCAUUGAUACUGAAAGGCUUGAGUUCAGUUGAGGUAAGCGGAAUGUGUAGUGUAGCGGUGAAAUGCUUAGAUAUUACACAGAACACCAAUUGCGAAGGCAGCUUACUAAACUGACACUGACGCUGAUGCACGAAAGCGUGGGGAGCGAACAGGAUUAGAUACCCUGGUAGUCCACGCCGUAAACGAUGUUCACUCGCUGUUUGCGAUACACAGCAAGCGGCCAAGCGAAAGCAUUAAGUGAACCACCUGGGGAGUACGAUCGCAAGGUUGAAACUCAAAGGAAUUGACGGGGGCCCGCACAAGCGGAGGAACAUGUGGUUUAAUUCGAUGAUACGCGAGGAACCUUACCUGGGCUUAAAUGUAGAACGACAGGCUGUGAAAGCAGUCCUUCUUCGGACGUUUUACAAGGUGCUGCAUGGUUGUCGUCAGCUCGUGCCGUGAGGUGUCGGGUUAAGUCCCAUAACGAGCGCAACCCUUAUCGUUAGUUGCCAGCGGGUCAUGCCGGGGACUCUAGCGAGACUGCCACCGUAAGGUGUGAGGAAGGUGGGGAUGACGUCAAAUC